Molecule: transfer RNA, 73 nt
Filed under: Ixodes scapularis (black-legged tick)
Lineage: Eukaryota; Metazoa; Arthropoda; Arachnida; Ixodida; Ixodidae
Rfam family: tRNA
About the family: Transfer RNA (tRNA) molecules are approximately 80 nucleotides in length. Their secondary structure includes four short double-helical elements and three loops (D, anti-codon, and T loops). Further hydrogen bonds mediate the characteristic L-shaped molecular structure. tRNAs have two regions of fundamental functional importance: the anti-codon, which is responsible for specific mRNA codon recognition, and the 3' end, to which the tRNAs corresponding amino acid is attached (by aminoacyl-tRNA synthetases). tRNAs cope with the degeneracy of the genetic code in two manners: having more than one tRNA (with a specific anti-codon) for a particular amino acid; and 'wobble' base-pairing, i.e. permitting non-standard base-pairing at the 3rd anti-codon position.
Source: Rfam by way of RNAcentral
UCCUUGUAAGCUCAGUGAGUAGAGCUCUGCACUGAAAAUGUAGAGUUCUCUGGUUUGAUACCAGGAGCAGGCA